This 517-nucleotide ribosomal RNA is filed under the name Salmonella enterica. Its description in RNAcentral is "partial 23S ribosomal RNA". It matches the Rfam family "Bacterial large subunit ribosomal RNA", at positions 1241 to 1757 of the family's 2925-position model. RNAcentral also lists the same sequence under 1 other name. Lineage: Bacteria; Pseudomonadati; Pseudomonadota; Gammaproteobacteria; Enterobacterales; Enterobacteriaceae. The record is from RNAcentral.
CUGUAAGCCUGUGAAGGUGUGUCGUGAGGCAUGCUGGAGGUAUCAGAAGUGCGAAUGCUGACAUAAGUAACGAUAAAGCGGGUGAAAAGCCCGCUCGCCGGAAGACCAAGGGUUCCUGUCCAACGUUAAUCGGGGCAGGGUGAGUCGACCCCUAAGGCGAGGCCGAAAGGCGUAGUCGAUGGGAAACGGGUUAAUAUUCCCGUACUUGGUGUUACUGCGAAGGGGGGACGGAGAAGGCUAUGUUGGCCGGGCGACGGUUGUCCCGGUUUAAGCGUGUAGGUGUGUGUUCCAGGUAAAUCCGGUUCACUUUAACACUGAGGCGUGACGACGAGGCACUACGGUGCUGAAGCAACAAAUGCCCUGCUUCCAGGAAAAGCCUCUAAGCAUCAGGUAACAUCAAAUCGUACCCCAAACCGACACAGGUGGUCAGGUAGAGAAUACCAAGGCGCUUGAGAGAACUCGGGUGAAGGAACUAGGCAAAAUGGUGCCGUAACUUCGGGAGAAGGCACGCUGACAC